UAACUUCUUUCAAGCUAUAAUUUAAUAAUAUGCCAUAAGUACAGAUCAUGAGGACAAGCCAUCUAUAGAGUUUGACUUGAGGAAAACUUAUUUUUAGUUUACAUCAUAUUUUUUUACUUUCUAGUGUUUGCUCUCCUAUAUUAUGAUGAAAAACAUAACUCCAAAAACAUGUGUCUUUUAAGGCUUCAAGAGGGGACUGCCUUCCUUGAUCAACACAAAUACACUGCCAGCAUCUCCUCUGGAGAUCCUAAGCUCAUCAUCCAAGUAGGUUGUCAGCAGCCAUGAUUGUGCAUUGUUAUUGGAAAUAGGAAACUUAAUUGGUGGUUGACUUGAAAUGGACUUGGCCACCGAGGAAGCUGUGUCUUGGACUGAAGUAAUCAAGCCUUUGAAGGGGCUUAGAUCAAUCUUUUGUCCCAAGAAUUCAACGUUCUCAGGCAAUACGAUGGAAUCUGUCAACUGGGGUGUUCCAAUUAUGCCUUCUUCGAAUUUAAUCUGGACGCGUUUUGGACUUCUGACUUCGAAUUUGGCAUUGGUACUAAUGGAAGUUGUAGCUAAAGGUCCAGCAAAGACAACAGAGUUUUGGACAGUGAAACUCUCAGAAUCGAUAGUCUGUGAAAUCUCUUCAACUCGAACCAGAAGCAGAUUGCCCCGUGACAACAAGGGGAACAAACCCGAAAAAGAUGUGUACGCAAGAAUCCAUUUGCCGUUGAGAAGAGUCAAGGCUUCAGUAGGUGCUGGAUUAGGGUUCUUCGACUCAAGCUGUGUGAUGAGUUCAACGAUUUCCGCCCUAGUCUCACUGCUAGCACUCAAACCCCUAUUGGUUCCAUAAAAAGAAUCCGCCAAUUGCUUCUUCAGCAACUCAAUUUCACUUGGCUCCUUUGGUGGUUCUUCAUCCACAACCGCUACUCCACCCGGACUUAUUUUCUCCACUUCCGGCCCCCACUCAUCUUCCUUGUCGUAAUUUGUGGCUUGAGCUGUGAAUUUUGGUUUUGGGUAUGUGAAUUCUUUGACUGAAAUUGCUCUGUGUAGUUCUGUUUUUGAUGGGAAAUUCGU
RNAcentral lists this unclassified non-coding RNA (1053 nucleotides) under Hevea brasiliensis (rubber tree). The record is from RNAcentral. Lineage: Eukaryota; Viridiplantae; Streptophyta; Magnoliopsida; Malpighiales; Euphorbiaceae.